Molecule: unclassified non-coding RNA, 770 nt
Filed under: uncultured bacterium
Lineage: Bacteria
Description: partial contains 16S ribosomal RNA, 16S-23S ribosomal RNA intergenic spacer, and 23S ribosomal RNA
Rfam family: Bacterial small subunit ribosomal RNA (bases 1-152)
Source: RNAcentral
GUACACACCGCCCGUCACGUCACGAAAGUCGGCAACACCCGAAGCCGGUGGCCCAACCCUUGUGGAGGGAGCCGUCGAAGGUGGGGCUGGCGAUUGGGACGAAGUCGUAACAAGGUAGCCGUACCGGAAGGUGCGGCUGGAUCACCUCCUUUCUAAGGAGCACACACCCCGACCAUCAGGUAGCAGGCCACAAGGUUCAGUGAUGUCUGGUGGCGCAUGGUGGUGUCUCACUAGUGGAAUCGUCGACACCAGGUUUUUCUGCGAGCUUGCUCGUGGGGAGGCGUUGGUUCACCUGGGUCCCGCGUUGGUGGGAGCAGGGUCAAGCACACUGUUGGGUCCUGAAGAAUCAGCCGUUGACCUUCGGGUCGCUGUUGGUUGUUCUGGUUCCUCCUUCGCUUGCAUCUCCUCGUGUGGGGGUGUGGGGGUUGGUGGGGUUGUUGUUUGAGAUCUGCAUAGUGGACGCGAGCAUCUGGCGACGCCCGUAUGAGCCUCUCUCUUCCUUCUUGGUGGUGGAGGGGUUGGUGGGUGUUGUCUAGAGCAAUUCGUUUAAUGAGUUUGUAGUUAUUGAUGCGAUCGGCUUUUCCUGGCUGGUCGUGUCGUGCCAGCCGCACUCGUGAUUGUGGGUGUGGUUGGUUGUUGUUCUUUUGUGUUUGUGGUCAACGGUGGUUUCGACUGCGUGUGUUGCUGCUUUCCUUGUUUGUUGGGGGAGUGGUGGCGUGUGUUGUUGUGACGUUGUUGAGACAAGCUAUGAAGGGCGCACGGUGGAUGCC